AAUAGAUACCCUGGUAGUCCACGCCCUAAACGAUGUCAACUGGUUGUCGGGGAAGCAAUUCCUUGGUAACGAAGCUAACGCGUGAAGUUGACCGCCUGGGGAGUACGGCCGCAAGGUUAAAACUCAAAGGAAUUGACGGGGACCCGCACAAGCGGUGGAUUAUGUGGAUUAAUUCGAUGCAACGCGAAAAACCUUACCUACCCUUGACAUGUACGGAACCUCGCAGAGAUGUGAGGGUGCCCGAAAGGGAGCCGUAACACAGGUGCUGCAUGGCUGUCGUCAGCUCGUGUCGUGAGAUGUUGGGUUAAGUCCCGCAACGAGCGCAACCCUUGUCAUUAGUUGCUACAUUCAGUUGGGCACUCUAAUGAGACUGCCGGUGACAAACCGGAGGAAGGUGGGGAUGACGUCAAGUCCUCAUGGCCCUUAUGGGUAGGGCUUCACACGUAAUACAAUGGCCGGCACAGAGGGCUGCCAAACCCGGCGAGGGGGAGCUAAUCCCAGAAAGCCGGUCGUAGUCCGGAUUGUUCUCUGCAACUCGAGAGC
Molecule: ribosomal RNA, 543 nt
Filed under: uncultured bacterium
Lineage: Bacteria
Description: bacterial SSU rRNA
Rfam family: Bacterial small subunit ribosomal RNA
Source: RNAcentral